UUCCUCCAUCCUGGAUGAGUACUCAGGGAU
This 30-nucleotide non-coding RNA is filed under the name Rattus norvegicus (Norway rat). The record is from RNAcentral. Lineage: Eukaryota; Metazoa; Chordata; Mammalia; Rodentia; Muridae.